RNAcentral lists this ribosomal RNA (876 nucleotides) under uncultured Nitrososphaerota archaeon. RNAcentral describes it as "bacterial SSU rRNA". It matches the Rfam family "Archaeal small subunit ribosomal RNA", at positions 1 to 884 of the family's 1478-position model. Lineage: Archaea; Thermoproteati; Nitrososphaerota. The record is from RNAcentral.
UUCCGGUUGAUCCUGCCGGACCUGACUGCUAUCGGAUUGAUACUAAGCCAUGCGAGUCAUUGUAGCAAUACAAGGCAGACGGCUCAGUAACGCGUAGUCAAUCUACCCUAUGGACGGGAAUAACCUCGGGAAACUGAGAAUAAUGCCCGAUAGAACAUUAUGCCUGGAAUGGUUUAUGUUUCAAAUGAUUUAUCGCCAUAGGAUGGGACUGCGGCCUAUCAGCUUGUUGGUGAGGUAAUGGCCCACCAAGACUAUUACAGGUACGGGCUCUGAGAGGAGUAGCCCGGAGAUGGGUACUGAGACACGGACCCAGGCCCUAUGGGGCGCAGCAGGCGAGAAAACUUUGCAAUGUGCGAAAGCACGACAAGGUUAAUCCGAGUGGUUUCUGCUAAAGAAACCUUUUGUCAGUCCUAGAAACACUAACGAAUAAGGGGUGGGCAAGUUCUGGUGUCAGCCGCCGCGGUAAAACCAGCACCUCAAGUGGUCAGGAUGAUUAUUGGGCCUAAAGCAUCCGUAGCUCGUUUUGUAAGUUUUCGGUUAAAUCCAUGCGCUUAACGUAUGGGCUGCCGGGAAUACUGCAUAACUAGGAAGUGGGAGAGGUAGACGGUACUCGGUAGGAAGGGGUAAAAUCCUUUGAUCUAUUGAUGACCACCUGUGGCGAAGGCGGUCUACCAGAACACGUUCGACGGUGAGGGAUGAAAGCUGGGGGAGCAAACCGGAUUAGAUACCCGGGUAGUCCCAGCUGUAAACUAUGCAAACUCAGUGAUGCAUUGGCUUGUGGCCAAUGCAGUGCUGCAGGGAAGCCGUUAAGUUUGCCGCCUGGGAAGUAUGUACGCAAGUAUGAAACUUAAAGGAAUUGGCGGGGGAGCACCACAA